This 375-nucleotide ribosomal RNA is filed under the name uncultured bacterium. RNAcentral describes it as "bacterial SSU rRNA". It matches the Rfam family "Bacterial small subunit ribosomal RNA", at positions 521 to 896 of the family's 1533-position model. The record is from RNAcentral.
UAAUACGAAGGGGGCAAGCGUUGCUCGGAAUCACUGGGCGUAAAGGGCGCGUAGGCGGACGUUUAAGUCAGGGGUGAAAUCCCGAGGCUCAACCUCGGAAUUGCCUUUGAUACUGAAUGUCUCGAGACCGGAAGAGGUAAGUGGAACUGCGAGUGUAGAGGUGAAAUUCGUAGAUAUUCGCAAGAACACCAGUGGCGAAGGCGGCUUACUGGUCCGGUUCUGACGCUGAGGCGCGAAAGCGUGGGGAGCAAACAGGAUUAGAUACCCUGGUAGUCCACGCCGUAAACGAUGGAUGCUAGCCGUUGGCGAGCUUGCUCGUCAGUGGCGCAGCUAACGCUUUAAGCAUCCCGCCUGGGGAGUACGGUCGCAAGAUUA